CUUAGUCGAUGGCGACCGGCGCACGGGUGAGUAACGCGUAUCCAACCUGCCCUUUACUCGGGGAUAGCCUUUCGAAAGAAAGAUUAAUACCCGAUAGCAUAAUGAUUCCGCAUGGUUUCAUUAUUAAAGGAUUCCGGUAAAGGAUGGGGAUGCGUUCCAUUAGGUUGUUGGUGAGGUAACGGCUCACCAAGCCUUCGAUGGAUAGGGGUUCUGAGAGGAAGGUCCCCCACAUUGGAACUGAGACACGGUCCAA
Molecule: ribosomal RNA, 253 nt
Filed under: uncultured bacterium
Lineage: Bacteria
Description: partial 16S ribosomal RNA
Rfam family: Bacterial small subunit ribosomal RNA
Source: RNAcentral